CCUACGGGAGGCAGCAGUAGGGAAUCUUCCACAAUGGGCGAAAGCCUGAUGCAGCAACGCCGCGUGUGUGAAGAAGGUCUUCGGAUCGUAAAACCCUGUUGUUAGAGAAGAAAGUACGUAAGAGUAACUGUUCACGUUUCGACGGUAUCUAACCAGGAAGCCACGGCUAACUACGUGCCAGCAGCCGCGGUAAUACGUAGGUGGCAAGCGUUAUCCGGAUUUAUUGGGCGUAAAGAGCACGCAGGCGGUCUGUUAAGUCAGAUGUGAAAGCCCUCGGCUUAACCGGAGUAGUGCAUUGGAAACUGGGAGACUUGAGUGCAGAAGAGGAGAGUAGAACUCCAGGUGUAGCGGUGAAAUGCGUAGAGAUAUGGAAGAAUACCAGUGGCGAAAGCGGCUCUCUGGUCGGUAACUGACGCUGAGGUUCGAAAGCGUGGGGAGCAAACAGGAUUAGAUACCCCUGUAGUC
Molecule: ribosomal RNA, 465 nt
Filed under: uncultured bacterium
Lineage: Bacteria
Description: partial 16S ribosomal RNA
Rfam family: Bacterial small subunit ribosomal RNA
Source: RNAcentral